This 253-nucleotide ribosomal RNA is filed under the name uncultured bacterium. RNAcentral's name for it is "partial 16S ribosomal RNA". It matches the Rfam family "Bacterial small subunit ribosomal RNA", at positions 524 to 776 of the family's 1533-position model. The record is from RNAcentral.
UACGUAGGUGACAAGCGUUGUCCGGAUUUACUGGGCGUAAAGAGCGCGCAGGCGGUCGUUCAAGUCGAGUGUGAAAGCCCCCGGCUCAACUGGGGAGGGUCACUCGAUACUGAUCGACUCGAAGGCAGGAGAGGGAAGUGGAAUUCCCGGUGUAGUGGUGAAAUGCGUAGAUAUCGGGAGGAACACCAGUGGCGAAGGCGACUUCCUGGCCUGUUCUUGACGCUGAGGCGCGAAAGCUAGGGGUGCAAACGGG